This 120-nucleotide ribosomal RNA is filed under the name Neonectria ditissima. Lineage: Eukaryota; Fungi; Ascomycota; Sordariomycetes; Hypocreales; Nectriaceae. The record is from RNAcentral.
ACAUACGACCAUACCCACUAGAGAACUCGGGAUCCCGUCCGCUCUCCCAUAGAUAAGCUGGUGAGGGGCCAACUAGUAGUUGGGUCGGUGACGACCAGCGAAUCCUGGCUGUUGUAUGUU